This 298-nucleotide long non-coding RNA is filed under the name Elaeis guineensis (African oil palm). RNAcentral's name for it is "long non-coding RNA (EGUI_LNC010677)". Lineage: Eukaryota; Viridiplantae; Streptophyta; Magnoliopsida; Arecales; Arecaceae. The record is from RNAcentral.
GUGCUAUGUGCUUUGUGAUUGAAUAUAAAUUCAUUUCUUGAGUUUCAGAUUACCAACGCAGUAUAACAAAUGAUUGAUUUCUGUAACUGCUGCACUUUGAAGUCUUCUGUAAGGUUACUUAGGUCCUGCGGAGAAUUUAAAUGAUAACCUGAUAAUUCUGAGUGCUGAAGAGUCGCCCAGAUCUCAAAUACGAGCGUGCAAGAUAGGAGGCAGUGUUGAAUAUCCUCUUUAGUCUGCUGACAUAAUACACAAACUUCCUCUUACUUCUGGAGCAAAUCCCUAUCUUGCAGUAUAGCAU